Molecule: ribosomal RNA, 468 nt
Filed under: uncultured bacterium
Lineage: Bacteria
Description: partial 16S ribosomal RNA
Rfam family: Bacterial small subunit ribosomal RNA
Source: RNAcentral
GACGAACGCUGGCGGCGUGCUUAACACAUGCAAGUCGAACGGAAAGGCCCUGCUUUUGUGGGGUGCUCGAGUGGCGAACGGGUGAGUAACACGUGAGUAACCUGCCCUUGACUUUGGGAUAACUUCAGGAAACUGGGGCUAAUACCGGAUAGGAGCUCCUGCUGCAUGGUGGGGGUUGGAAAGUGUCGGCGGUUGGGGAUGGACUCGCGGCUUAUCAGCUUGUUGGUGGGGUAGUGGCUUACCACGGCUUUGACGGGUAGCCGGCCUGGGAGGGUGGCCGGCCACAAUGGGACUGAGAUACGGACCAGACUGCUACGGGAGGCAGAAGUGGGGAAUAUUGCACAAUGGGCGGAAGCCUGAUGCAGCAACGCCGCGUGCGGGAAGACGGCCUUCGGGGUGUAAACCGCUUUCGCCUGUGACGAAGCGUGAGUGACGGUAAUGGGUAAAGAAGCACCGGCUAACUACGUG